RNAcentral lists this long non-coding RNA (8139 nucleotides) under Physcomitrium patens. RNAcentral's name for it is "long non-coding RNA (PPAT_LNC003394)". The stretch from base 2482 to 2555 matches the Rfam family "tRNA". The record is from RNAcentral. Lineage: Eukaryota; Viridiplantae; Streptophyta; Bryopsida; Funariales; Funariaceae.
UGAUGGUGGCGUCAUCGCCGGGUCUAACCCAAGCGGUGUUGGGGAGGGGUUUCGUAUUGUGUGCGAUGUGAGGAACGUCGGUUGUUAGGAUAUCGGUGUCGUGUGUCGGGUGGGAGAGUGUCGGCCGGUGAUUAUAAACGUAUUUGCUACUCUUGAUGGCUUCGGCCAGCUGAUUAAACACAAUACCACUAAGAUCGAUGAGGCCUUGCGUGCGCGGGCAGAGUGCGUGUUGGUUGGUUAGGGGUGUCGGGUUGCUGAUGAUGAAGAAGCAUGUAUCAACUUUGUUACUGAAUCCGGUUGUGGAUGGGGAUGUAACAUCUUAUCUUCUCUCUGAGGCAAGGUGCUGCGGCAGUAGUUUUGAAGUAGUGUAUGGACGCUGGCGUGGUAUACGUAGGAUCGAUGCACAAUGCACCCCGGGCAGCUCUGAUUUGAGAGGAUGAAUCGGCCCUAAGCAUGUGCUAGAGAUGCAUGUGUGAAGCUCUUGCCGGUUGCGAAGCCGGUGGAGAGUGACACUGGGUCUGUCUCGUGUUACUUGCCUUAUGUGAUUCUCCAUACUGCAAGCGUCAAAAUGAGCAGAUACAUUUAUGCUGAGAAGUAGUUUGGGGGGUGGUGGCGUGUGAUGGGAGGGUAGGGGGAAGUUGAGUGGGUGUGGGAGUGAGAAGUGUGGAGGGUUGGGGGAGGGCAGGUGAGUUCUCCGUGAUGACGAUUUAUAGAUGACGAAUCUGAGCUUAAGGCGCAGGCGAAGGUCAGUGGAUCCGCGUAUGCGAUGUCUUAUCGCAUGCGUGCGUGAGGCUGCCGGAGGCUGCGAACCGCUGGGUUGCCAGUUGCUCUGAAGCACAAACGAGGCAUUUGUCUGAGAGGAUGAUACAAGUGUGUGGGAUUUCUGAGCUGGGGCGGGGCGGUGGGGGGGGAAGUCUGUAGGGGCACAGCCUGAUGAUGCAGUCUAUAAUCUUUGAGACCUGAUUGCCGUGUGGCAGUGUUGAGAAACAGCAGACCCUGAAGGCUUGGGUAGAAGGUGGGGUGGAUGUGGUAUAGGGAGGAGUGGAUGGGAAAUGUGGAUGACGGUGAAGAUAUUACAUGCAGUCAAUACGCUGCGGAGGUCUAGCUUUGGUGCGAUGGGCUAGAAGUGACGGCUGACAUGUUCCCUGCGAGCAGAGAGAAAUAUGCGCUGAGAUUGGAUUGAGGGCCUCAUCUCUAAAGCAGAGCAUAAGAGCGGCCGGGCUUGAAACUUCAGGGCAGCGGCUUUGAAAUGCUUUGAGGUGCAGGCAGAAGUGAUGAGAACCCCUCCGGGAUCCAGUGAUGCUGGGUGAGCUGAGAGCCUCGAAAGGGUUGCAGAUAUCUAUUCUGUCCUCGUUGCAAAUGGGUGAUGAUGAUUACUACAGGUCAUCUGAGCACGCCAACGAGGUUCUAUGUUUGAAUAGUCAGUUUUGUACAUUACAUCAACAGAAUCGAUCACUGCCGUAGAAGCAAGUAUAGUUUACAGUAUGACAAAGGAAUACUACCUGUUGAAAGUGUAAAUGAAGGGGAGUGUCGGUCUGAAUAUUUUCAGAUUACUUUAUACUAACUUUUCAGCCUGGAACCAAAGUGGAGGAUAUUGCUCAUUGAACUUAUUCUGGACCAGGAUGAGGGAAACGUGCUAGUUUCCGUCUUUGCUGCAGACGCACAUUGAGAGCGUACAUGGUGACUUCUCUAAAUUGCAUGAUACCUAGCUCAGUUUUAUCUGGGUGUGUCUGUCAUAAAUGUCUUUCGUUUGUGAAUUCCACACAGAAACGUCUAGGUUGCUUGAUUACGGGAUAUAACACAGAUUCUUCGCCAGUCACCCAAGCAAUAUGCGUAGAACCUGGUUGUGGGGAAGUUUUUGAUAGUCUCUCUUAGAUAAAAGCCCAUGUCAUGUGAAGGUUGUAUACUAUUAUGUUGUGAAAUUUGUGGCGUACUUAUGUUGAAAAACAAACACUAAACCCUAAACACAUGAAGGAGUGGAGACCUUGAUUCGGUGUCCAAACCCUGGUUGCUUGCAUAGUUGCACCAAGCUAUAUGCAGGAUGAGGUUUGUGUACCUGUUUUUCUGUUCGAUAUUUUUUAAAGGUUGUCCAUGUGAUGAAUAAUACAGUGGAGUUAUAAUACCGCAGAGUAUAGUUGCAUAAUUUCAGAGAUAUUUUUGUAGGGGUUGUCUUCACAGAAAUUUGUUCGUAAGGUUCAUUUCGUAAGAUCGAAGUGGGAGGCAUGUGGUAGAAUAAUUGCAGUGGCUGGGAAAGUUUUUAUAAAUCACUUUUCAGUGCGGCGGUGUCGACGCAAUGAGGAACGGUGGGUGGAAUGGAGAGUAAUGGAGAGUGUUCAGGUGCGAUGGAAACGGGUGUAAAACGGACAGGCGGUUGAAGGUGGGACAUCGGAAGAAGGCUUCUACCGCGGGGAUGUAGCUCAGAUGGUAGAGCGCUCGCUUAGCAUGCGAGAGGUAUGGGGAUCGAUACCCCACUUCUCCACAGCUUCUAUAGCUCAGUUGGCUAGAGCACCCGUUUAGUAAGCGGGAGGUCCUGAGUUCAACUCUCAGUGGAAGCAUCGAGAGCUCUUUUGUCAGCAAGGAGGGAGUUAAAAAUGAAAACUAGAGUUUUAUUCAGGGUGCACCUCGCGUCUCGCCAGUGCAGAUCCGUCCUCCCUCCGCACUCACCCACACUUCAUCACCUCCACCCACCGCAUUUCCGCUUCUUACAUGCUUUCCGCUGCACGUCGAAGUGUUCAUUGGAAAACCCACUGGCUGAAUGGCCGAACAUUUUAAGGAAAUUUUCUCGUGUUGAUUUUGUGCUUCUGUGAACUGUGGAGUGUAUGCAUGGCUGCCAGCAUUUGUUCUCAGUUUUUUUAGACUUCUCAACGAGUGUCCAAUUACUUGUGUUUUUCAUGAUUCAUGAAGAACUGGGGGUAGUCACUACAGUUAUGGAGUAAUUGUUGCAUUUUUUAAAAACCUUUGUUUAUAAUAUGUUUGUAAUUCUUUUCCAUCUUUCGCUUCAUUUGUAUCUUUUCUUUCUUUUUAUUCUUUUCCCGUUUUUGAUCUUCUGCGUAUCCUACUUGUAACGAUUCUUUCGUUCAUUUCAUGACACAAGUGAAGCAGUGCAACUCGCUGACCGCGCCACUCAUUUACAUGGGUAAUACCGUGAACAGUCUAAGAAAGUGGGUGAGUAGAGAAGCUUAUGAGCAUCCCGGCGGAAUGUCCCCAGUUCAAGUGACAUACAAUCGGAUCAGUUCCCAGAUGGUCGUUGGAACACCCCAGCACAUCUGCCGACCCUUUGGAGAUAGAUAAACAACAUUGCACGCUGUGAAGCACACGACCAAAGCUAAUACGCGCUGAUCCAGAAGGUAGACAAUCCCGCACAAUGGAUUCAAACUAUUGCCCCCAAUCAAAUAGUAGCUCACUGACAUUUCAGAAUAUUACUUGAUAUUUCACCAAAUCACCUACCUCGCGUGGUGGUUGAUUUCGAAAUAUCGAAAGAGUACCACAUUGGCUCAGCUCUCUUUCCUCUUUGAUUCCAUACCACACUGCCUAACACCAAAGUUUGAACAAUGAUAUUUAAGAUUUGAUAAUUCAAGAGAUCCUAGAAAUAUCAGGUGCCGAAAUCCAAUUACUGGGUUAUGCAAAAGUGCGGAGCCUGAACGUUCUAAUUUAUUAGUAGAUAUGUUCUAAAUAACUGUCAAAAGAAUAUCAACAUGUGUAAAUCUAAUUAACUUUACUUAGGAAUACACAUGAUAAUUCUCACAAGCAUGGGGCCUGUAGCAGCUGUAUUGGCACCAUCACAACACAUCGAGCUCAUGGAGAUUCCAAUCUAGCGUAGCAGUGUCAACCAGAGGGGCCAAGCAGACGUACUUGUGCACCUGCAAGGAAUAAAAUAAUGUUCACCUUAAAGAUUGCAGGAUAGAGAUGUAUUAACUUCGAGAGAUGACAAAAUUUGUGGAUUAUACUUCAUGGCAAAAUAAGUUAUUCUACCGAAACUGUUUCAAAGUGAGCAUACAGAACGUUGUAAUUGUGGUAUCUGCAGCAGAUCUAAUACAAGAUUCAUAAGAUUGAAGUCUGCUUGGUCUGAGCCACCACAACGACUUCAGCCAGGGGAGAACUGAAGUCAGUUACUGGAAAGCGUUACAAACUGUGUUAAAAACUGUUGCAACCCUUUCGAGGCUCUUAGCUCACCCAGCAUCACUGGGUCCUGGAGGGGUUCUCAUCACUUCUGCCUGCACCUCAAAGCAUUUCAAAGCCGCUGCCCUGAAGUUUCAAGCCCGGCCGCUCUUAUGCUCUGCUUUAGAGAUGAGGCCCUCAAUCCAAUCUCAGCGCAUAUUUCUCUCUGCUCGCAGGGAACAUGUCAGCCGUCACUUCUAGCCCAUCGCACCAAAGCUAGACCUCCGCAGCGUAUUGACUGCAUGUAAUAUCUUCACCGUCAUCCACAUUUCCCAUCCACUCCUCCCUAUACCACAUCCACCCCACCUUCUACCCAAGCCUUCAGGGUCUGCUGUUUCUCAACACUGCCACACGGCAAUCAGGUCUCAAAGAUUAUAGACUGCAUCAUCAGGCUGUGCCCCUACAGACUUCCCCCCCCACCGCCCCGCCCCAGCUCAGAAAUCCCACACACUUGUAUCAUCCUCUCAGACAAAUGCCUCGUUUGUGCUUCAGAGCAACUGGCAACCCAGCGGUUCGCAGCCUCCGGCAGCCUCACGCACGCAUGCGAUAAGACAUCGCAUACGCGGAUCCACUGACCUUCGCCUGCGCCUUAAGCUCAGAUUCGUCAUCUAUAAAUCGUCAUCACGGAGAACUCACCUGCCCUCCCCCAACCCUCCACACUUCUCACUCCCACACCCACUCAACUUCCCCCUACCCUCCCAUCAUACGCCACCACCCCCCAAACUACUUCUCAGCAUAAAUGUAUCUGCUCAUUUUGACGCUUGCAGUAUGGAGAAUCACAUAAGGCAAGUAACACGAGACAGACCCAGUGUCACUCUCCACCGGCUUCGCAACCGGCAAGAGCUUCACACAUGCAUCUCUAGCACAUGCUUAGGGCCGAUUCAUCCUCUCAAAUCAGAGCUGCCCGGGGUGCAUUGUGCAUCGAUCCUACGUAUACCACGCCAGCGUCCAUACACUACUUCAAAACUACUGCCGCAGCACCUUGCCUCAGAGAGAAGAUAAGAUGUUACAUCCCCACCCACAACCGGAUUCAGUAACAAAGUUGAUACAUGCUUCUUCAUCAUCAGCAACCAGAUUACAUAGCAGAGUCGAAGAGGAAAUUUCAAAUUCUCAUGCUCGGAGUUUUCGAUAUACACGAUUCUUAUCAGGGAGAAACAAUCCUAACCCAUCGGAAUCGUGGUGAUUUCUAUCUCCAAAGAUUUAGGUAAUUGGCAAUCUGUGUGGGAUUUCACACGGAACACAGUUUAUGAGCUAUAGAAGUCCACGUAUAAAUGUGGAAAACCCCGUGCAUGCCAAUCACCCUUAUUUCCAAGUCCACUGGCAAAAUUGAUACUGCGCGACUGAUAACCGUACCAUGUUCGAAUCCACUGGUAAAUUCUACCUUUCCACCUCAACGGUGUUGUGUAGAAAGGUACAUACUGACAGACUCGUUUUAAGUGAAUCUGUCACCACUGACUAUAUUUCUGUGCCUCGACAGAACCAAGUUCGAUCGUGUGGUCCUUGACUUUACCAUUGUCUCUAUAGUCUCAGACGUCCAAGGAAGGUUUGGAAGCUGCAUUAGCUCUCUAGUCCCGCAAGACGAAAGCUUUAGGCGGCCACUGCGAAUGUUUAGGAAACAAGCCUAGGAUUCUUCAUCAUCGACCUCCACUCUCCCCUCUCUGUCUCCCCAUUCAACCAGGUGUUCGUUCAGAUCAGCGGGUUAACUAUCAUAUGGGAUGCGAAAUUAUAUUUCUGUCCCCGUAUCAAGUCUGUUGAGCUUGACGAAAUUUUCUUGUCGUCACCGCGAAACACCCCUCGCACCUCUCCUACACUGCAACUCCCAAGCUCAGUUCUUCACCAGUUUCUCAUUCACAAAUUCUCAGUAGCAGAACUGGCUUAUACUGGUAUUUCGAUCAUCACUGCUUCGACACUCUACUCGCAAAUCCGCCCCAAAAACAAGCAUCGAUACAUGUGGGGCCAAUGCCCGAUUGUUAAUCCAGACAUGUGCGUCUGCCUAACUGCCCACUCGCCCAACCACUCUAGCAAUCCACCAUUCAACUUCCAGUGCAAAGAUAAAGAGCACACACCGUGUUGUACACACGGGAUUGAGCUACAUCGAUAACGAGGAACAACCAAUUCUGGCUCAGACUUCCCAGACUACGGAGCAAGGUUUGAGUAGCUUCGUAAGCUAUAACGGACAGUGCCAGCUACAACUGUGAGUUAUAGAAAAAUCGCAUACAUACCAACCAAUCCGCAAAUACAAGAACCUUACAACACCAGUCCGACCCCUAAAACUACAAUUCUGCGCUUAGUAGCACUCAGGUAAAGCUGAAGAUGACCAAGUGAGCAAGACAACUAACUGAUCAAUGGAGAUAUCGCAGUCGGCACGGAAGCAUAUGUACACGCAUUCGAAAGACGAUUUGCAUCUCCGAAGCUGAAUUGUAACACAGACGGCCAGCAAAGCCCUAAUUCUGAAUGAAACCCUAAAAAAGAAUGAAUGCUGGAGAAAUGCAAAGUGGGGUGGAUGGAUGGAUAGACAUCUAGGCCGUUGUUCUAACAAAUGUUCGUAAUUGGAUGAAGUGUUAUAGUAACGACGUCCAUCCAAACCUCCGUGCUGGCAGCAAGUCAUAGCAGUGUGCUGCCCGCUAGAUGUCCAGACUUGGUCUGCCCCUUGCACAUGAUUUUCCAUUUCUGCCCGACUAUAUUUUGUAGGUAUCCCAGGGGUUGGAGGUCAGAACUGUUUACAAAUUAUUUAUUAUUCACAAAUUAAAUAUAAAUUAAUAUUUUAUUUUAAUAUUAAAUAUUAAUGAUAUUUUUGUACAAUUAUUAAUACUUUUUUGUAUUCUUAUACUGAGUGAAUUUUGAAAUAUAACUAGUGUAACAAUAUUUUUAUUUUAUUCUUUAUUUACUUCUAAAAAAUGAUUUUUUUUUUUUAUAAUUUAGUAGGUUAUUGAAUUUUAAAAUAAAAAAAUUCCAGUAAUAACAAAUCAAGGUUUGAAAUGUCUUGUCUCACAAAAAAGAUACGAUGUUUUGUUUCUUCAAGUUUUCUAUCAACAGUAUAAGUAAGUAAUUUAAUAAUAAAUUGAUUUUUUUAUGGAGAUGACGAAAAACAAAAUUAAAAAAAAUACUUGAAAAUAAAACAAAUCCAUAUAUUUAAAUAAUUUUGAAUUUUAAUUUUAAAAUUAAAAUCUUAAAAACCAUAGUUUUAUUGUUUUAAAAUACUUACAAUGCUUUAAAUCAUAUAUAAGUACUUUAAUUUAAAGAAGGUUCUCAACAAAGUUUUGAACACCUAUAAAGAAACUAUGAAUGAACAAGAUUAAAAAUAAACUAAAAUUAAGAGAAAGAAAAUAAAAUAAAAUAAAAAAUAAUGACAACAAUGUACAAAUUUGUAGAUUAUAUUGUAAAAGUGUGGUAAUACAUUCUUAUUUUUUUUUUACAUAAAAAUAUGCAAUAAAAAUUAUGAAUUAUUAAUGCAACAUCUCCAAUUGAUAUUGAUACAUUCCAUGUGACCUCUUUGCCAACAACUAGCUAAUAUUAUGCUAAUAUUGUGCUUUUGUACAUUUUUCUCUUUCUUUGCUUUAAGAAAAGGAUGAUGGUUGAGAGAGAGAAAAAAACUUGUUUUUAAAAGAACAAGUUAUGAACUAUAAAUAUAUAUAUAUAUAUAUAUAUAAACUUGGAGUUGUUAAAGUCAAAUCUUCUUGGUCAUGUGAUGAUUAAUUGAGUCCAAUGUCACUCCACUCCAUGUGGUGUGCUCAGGACUCUGGCUCAAUGUGAAUGAGCAAGAUCAUCAUGCUAUGAAAUGUGUUUGCUGCUUUCAUCAGAGACUGAUGAUGCAGUCUAUAAUCUUUGAGACCUGAUUGCCGUGUGGCAGUGUUGAGAAACAGCAGACCCUGAAGGCUUGGGUAGAAGGUGGGGUGGAUGUGGUAUAGGGAGGAGUGGAUGGGAAAUGUGGAUGACGGUGAAGAUAUUACAUGCAGUCAAUACGCUGCGGAGGUCUAGCUU